GGGAGAAGUGGUAACUGUUCAAAAUGGAAUAAUUUGAGAGGAAUUUUCGAGGAGAAAUCUUCACAAAGCAACUCCAACACUACAGGUUUGAAACAAUUUCACUAUAGUAUCAACUUUUACAUUUUCUUUCAUCAUGGGAAAAAGAUCACUACAAUAAACUUGCAAGAACACCAUAUAGUGUACAUUAAGACAGCCCAGCUGGAAGAAAGCAGUGUAAACAAAUGGAAAAUAUGAGAGAUGGUGUAUGUGUACUCGAAAGACAGGAAAGAGGUACUGCAAUGGACAAGAGAACCCAUUUAUGUGAUGAGGUAUGAGGUAAGAAACUCCUUGCCAUUGACUUUAAAAACUAAAUCACCUUUCCCCCUUCUACCUCACCUCACUGCGUUCUUGUAAUGCUAACCUGCUCACUGUACUUCAAUCUUGUUU
This 426-nucleotide long non-coding RNA is filed under the name Ornithorhynchus anatinus (platypus). Its description in RNAcentral is "lncRNA (ENSOANG00000039722.1)". Lineage: Eukaryota; Metazoa; Chordata; Mammalia; Monotremata; Ornithorhynchidae. The record is from RNAcentral.